Molecule: long non-coding RNA, 2369 nt
Organism: Labeo rohita (rohu)
Lineage: Eukaryota; Metazoa; Chordata; Actinopteri; Cypriniformes; Cyprinidae
Exons: 3
Source: RefSeq, a predicted model, not a curated record
AAAGCUGUAAUGAUGAUAAAAUAUCAAUCUGCCAAAACCGCUGAUGGCAUAAGCGGUUCUCACGGGUUCUGACUGUCAGUCAUCACAACAAUCAAGCGGCUGUGAUCCUUCAGCACACUUCUGUCUGUCUGUCUCUGUGUGAAUGUCUUCAGACUGACUCUCAGGGGAGGACGUGUUGUUCUUCUUCAGGGACACCGUGAGCAUCACAGGUUCACCUGUAUUCAUUUAAAAUAAGAGAAAAGAGAAACGUUUCCUGCUUGCUGAAAGUGACAUCAGAACUUCACUUUUCUUGUGUGGAUCUACAGAGUUUUCUGUGUGUGAGAGAGAAAGUGAUCAGAAAACUCAUUUGUGAUGCACAGAUCGACACGGAUCGGUUUCCAGGUCAUGAUUCGGCUUUUAUUUUGAAAUCUCUGCAGGUUUAUGUUUUGAUUUCUUGUCCUGAUGCAGGGCUGCUCAAUCUUCAGCUCCAACCCUGAACCAACGGAUUAGGAUCUGAAGGAGCACUUGAUCAUUACAGACAGUAGCUGCUACUGAGUCCAGGUUCUUCCAGAGGUAAAGACUGAACAUCAAAAGCACUCUGGAGUCUAACAGCGUUCAGUGGAUCAGAAUCGCUCAGGAACACGCGACGGAUUCGUGACGCAUCGUUUUGCUAACUAAACAAACGGUGGGAUGUCACGCCUGCAGCCACAGUGAACCUGUUGCCGUGGUGACGGUCGGUCAGAGCACAGCAUCACCUGCAGCCGCUGCGCUUUCCUGACGAGACGAACUCGGUCCUGCCGUAACGUUCUGAGAAAAACCAGAGAAUGAUUAACACCAACUAACAAGCUAAAAACUAAUCUUUUCUAUCCUGGGUUAAAAACUCAUCUAAUGUAUUCUGUAGGGAAGCUGCUCUGGUUCAUUGUCUCACAUGAGAUCAGUGGAUCUGUAGGUUUUCCUGUUUUAACUCAUCUGAUUCAGAUGAUCAGUGCAGUCAGACCAUCAAUUCAGUCUGUUUAAUGCUUCACAAAAUCACACCAAACCAUGCAAAUGCAAACAUUAAAAAAGGUCACUUUUAUCAGUUCUGGAUGUUGCUAUUUUCCCUCCUUUUACUUUUAUUUGUCCUAACCCAUGACUUAAGAGAUGAUUAUUUGAACAAUAAUGACAGAUAAAUGAACCUCAGAUAUGAAAAAUGAACUGUAAAGACUCUUUAAGUUAACUUUAGUUUAUUUCUUUAUUGCCAUGUCAGUCAAUCUGUCUGAAUCUGACACUUAUAAUGCAUUAAUUAUUUUAUUUGACAUAUUUAUGUUUUCAUUUUUAUUUUGCUCUGGAAGUCAUAACUGAUCCCUAUUAGCAGCUACAGAAAUGCGCUGAUGAACACGUCGAUGUCGAUGUGAGGCUCUCGGAGUAAAAGCGUUUUCCAGAUGCAUCAGUCCAAAUCAGACAAACUCCGGUCAUGGAAACCCUAAUAAAAUCUCACCUGCCUGUAGAAUCCUAGUAAGCCUUCACACCUCAGUUUUCCUGUUCAGGUGUGUUUGAUUAGGGUUAAAGCAAAGCUCUCCAGGACCGACGUUCGCCACCCCGGGUCUAAAUGUUUUCUGAGGGAGACAUGCUGGGAAAUGACAGAAGCACAUUGACAUCACCACAAAGACAAUGUCAUGUGAACCUGUGUGUUUGUAGAGCAGUUCCUGCUUGAUUCCUGAGCACAACAGGAAGUGCAGGGGACUUUUAAUUUGAUGUUUGCGAAAGGAAGAAAUACAGGUCAUGGGAGACAUUUUAGAUUAAUGAGGGUAACAAAAAACAACAACAACAAUCGAUAGGCCUGUUUUGAACAGUUAUGUCCUCCUGCGUGAACAACAUGAUGUGAACGAAUCUUGACCUUUGACCAGGGAUUUACAGUCGUUUUUGUGGAAUAAUCACGUGGUGGAUUCAUUUGAAGACAAAUCUACAAAGACUAUAUGAGGGUCUGUAGGGAUUUUUCUCCCCUGAAUCAGUGCGGCUGAGUUUUUCCUCCUGCUGUCAGGAUCGUACAAAACUCACCUGGACGUUUCUGACAGGAUGUCUCCAGAUGGAUCCUGAAAGGAUGUUUUUUAUUUAUUUUCUUCUGGCCACACUGCAAAUAUAGGCCAUUCCUGGUCAGUGUCAGAGUGAGAGUGAAAUGCAGGAACAUCCCGAGGCAUAUUGAGUCCAUCAGCACAGAUAUUUCUCAUGUUUAAUUUUGCUGCUCCUGAUGUGUGUCAUGGCAAUGCAUUUUCCAAAAUCAUUAUUUUAAGGUGUAAAAUUAUAGUAAUAAAUAAAAUGUACACAAUUGGUUUAUAAUAUGCUAAACAUGUUAUUUAUUUGUUGUAUACACUAGUGAAAUGCAUCCAUAAUGACCAGUUGGAAUGGUAAUA